AGCGAACGCUGGCGGCAGGCCUAACACAUGCCAGUCGAACGAACCUUUCGGGGUUAGUGGCGGACGGGUGAGUAACACGUGGGAACGUGCCUUUAGGUUCGGAAUAACUCAGGGAAACUUGUGCUAAUACCGAAUGUGCCCUUCGGGGGCAAGAUUUAUCGCCUUUAGAGCGGCCCGCGUCUGAUUAGCUAGUUGGUUGAGGUAAUGGCUCACCAAGGCGACGAUCAGUAGCUGGUCUGAGAGGAUGAUCAGCCACAUUGGGACUGAGACACGGCCCAAACUCCUACGGGAGGCAGCAGUGGGGAAUCUUGCGCAAUGGGCGAAAGCCUGACGCAGCCAUGCCGCGUGAAUGAUGAAGGUCUUAGGAUUGUAAAAUUCUUUCACCGGGGACGAUAAUGACGGUACCCGGAGAAGAAGCCCCGGCUAACUUCGUG
RNAcentral lists this ribosomal RNA (434 nucleotides) under uncultured bacterium. RNAcentral's name for it is "partial 16S ribosomal RNA". It matches the Rfam family "Bacterial small subunit ribosomal RNA", at positions 29 to 507 of the family's 1533-position model. The record is from RNAcentral.